Molecule: RNA transcript, 1068 nt
Organism: Macaca mulatta (Rhesus monkey)
Lineage: Eukaryota; Metazoa; Chordata; Mammalia; Primates; Cercopithecidae
Gene name: proteasome assembly chaperone 2 pseudogene
Source: RefSeq, a predicted model, not a curated record
GGUGUCACGCUUAGUCCCUGCUGGCCACCCCCCUGCGACCAUGUUCGUUCCCUGCGGGGAAUCGGCCCCCGACCUUGCCGGCUUCACCCUCCUAAUGCCAGCAGUAUCUGUUGGAAAUGUUGGCCAGCUUGCAAUGGAUCUGAUUAUUUCUACACUGAGUAUGUCUAAGAUUGGUUACUUCUAUACCGAUUGUCUUGUGCCUAUGGUUGGAAACAAUCCAUAUGCGACUGCGGAAGGAAAUUCAACAGAACUUAGUAUAAAUGCUGAAGUAUAUUCAUUGCCUUCAAGAAAGCUGGUGGCUCUUCAGUUAAGAUCCAUUUUUAUUAAGUAUAAAUCAAAGCCGUUCUGUGAAAAACUGCUUUCCUGGGUGAAAAGCAGCGGCUAUGCCAGAGUCAUUGUUCUUUCGAGCAGCCAUUCAUAUCAGCGCAAUGACCUGCAGCUUCACAGUACUCCCUUCCGGUACCUACUCACACCUUCCAUGCAAAGAAGUGUUCAAAAUAAAAUAAAGAGCCUUAACUGGCAAGAAAUGGAAAAAAGCCGGUGCAUUUCAGAAAUAGAUGAUUCCGAGUUUUGUAUCCGCAUUCCGGGGGGAGGAAUCACAAAAACGCUCUAUGAUGAAAGCUGUUCUAAAGAAAUCCAAAUGGUAGUUCUGCUGAAAUUUAUUUCAGAAGGGGACAACAUGCCAGAUGCAUUAGGUCUCGUUGAGUACCUUAAUGAGUGGCUUCAGAUAAUCAAACCACUUAGCGAUGACCCCACAGCAUCUACCUCACGGUGGAAAAUACCAAGUUCUUGGAGAUUACUCUUUGGCAGUGGUCUUCCCCCAGCACUUUUUUGAUCUGUUUUCCGUUUUAUACCUUAUACCCAGAACACUUACUACCAACACAACUGUUAAACAUUCUAGACAAAAAAAUCGUAUGAUCCGAGAACGUAUUAGGAAAUUACCUUCACCGUAAAUGUCAAAGGAAAAGAUUAAGGAUCUCUUUGCCAUGCUUUUCAUCAUAUGCAACAAAUGUGAAUUUUGUACAAUAAAAUUUUAUUUCCUAAGUAAAAAAAAAAAAAAAAAAAAGA